Long non-coding RNA from Esox lucius (northern pike), 1906 nucleotides. The record is from Ensembl. Lineage: Eukaryota; Metazoa; Chordata; Actinopteri; Esociformes; Esocidae.
GCCCAACCCGUCUGGUCAAGCAGCUGAGGGAGAACCAUAGUGAGGAGUGGUUGGACCGCCUGGCUGACUACUUUGGGGAAUGUGCUGCUUUUGUGGACCAGCCCAGCCUCUUCCCAGUGGCCUGCCAGGAGCCCCCGGAGCCUCUUGAUGUCCCCACCAGCCGAUGGCUCCUGUCUGUUUAUGGACGGGACAUCAUCACGCGAAUGGCUCAUAUCAAGGCCAGAAUAACCUCCACCUUUGGGUCCAUUUUAAAAAUGGACUCCACCAAGAAGAUCAUGAGGAAGCUGUCGGGGACAGCACGGGGGACUGCUCUGUGGCUGAGCUCUGUGAGCAAUGAGACCGGUCAGAUACUCAUCAGCGUCCUGACUGCUCAGGAGGGACCUGGUCUGGACCUGAUGGUCUCGGGUCUCAUGCGUCGCUACAGCCAGGCAGGUGUGGCCCCUCCAGUGCUGCUGUACGUGGACUGUGGCUGCUGUGUGGAGCAGGGUCAGAGCAAGCUCCAGGGCAGGUUCGGAGGGUGGCCAGACCUCUACAUCAGGCUGGACAUCUGGCAUUUCAUGCGGCGGCUGGCAGCAGGAUCCACCACUGACGCACAUCCCCUGUACCCCACUUUUAUGAGCCGACUGUCAGUCUGCAUCUUUGAGUGGGAUGCCGGGGAUGUGGCUCUUUUGCGUCAGUCCAAGAGGGAGCAGCUCAGACGGGAGGGUGUGCCUGUUAGCACCAAUGACAUGGUGGACAGGCACAUCACCAAGAACGACCUGGCUCUCUACUGCCGGAGGAGGACCCGCGGUGAGGUAGCCACCAUGCGCUGCAUUGACCACCUGCUGCAGGAGCUGAUGGGGGACAAGGGGAGAGACCUGCUCGGGGUGCCACCCCUGGACUGGGUCAGGAUGGAGCACAUCUGGCGCGUUCAGCAGAGGCACGUGAAGUGCAUCCAGGACGUGCCAGGUGUGCCUCUCUAUACGGAGAAGGGAACCACCACCACUAAGGACGGGGUGGUUUUGACCCAGUACAGGUGUGCCCGAGGCUCCACGUCCCUGGAGUCCUUCCACCUCCACCUGAACAGGUUCAUUCCAGGAACCAGUGCCAACAGCCUGUACUUCCAGCUGUAUCUCCUGGAAGGCCUGAACAGGUGGAAUCAGGACCGAGCUGCUGCAUCCCUCUCCACCAAACCCUCCUCACUGCUGAGCUACGCUGGGGACGUGGUUCAGUGUGUGAACGAAAACAGCAUGAAGGUGUUUGGCCGGAAAUAUGUGUCCUCUUUCCGCCCCCCUACCAAGUACACUGGAGAGCUGAUAGGCAUGGACUAUCUGCCACGUCAGACAGGGCAGCCUUUGCAGAGUGUGGACCCCGACACAGAGGAGACUGACCAUCUGCUGGAGGACCUGGCCGUGGACGGUGAGGAGGAGGAGGAAGAUGAAGGCUUUGAUGAAUUCACACUGGACUCCACAGUUGGUAGUCUUCUGGAUGACAUCUCCACCGUCUCCACCACCAGCUGUCCUGCUCCCUCUGCUUCCAGUCCUGCUCCCUCUUGUCCCCGGUCUGCUCCCUCUGCUUCCAGUCCUGCUCCCUCUGGUCACCAGCCUGCUCCCUCUGCUUCCAGUCCUGCUCCCUCUGGUCCCCAGCCUGCCACCUCCACCACUCCACAGCCUGCUUCCAGUCCACCAGCUGUCACACCUUAGGUGCCUGAAGAGCAAUGGGCCGUGGAUGAGCACAACAGGCCGGGCAUGGAUCGUGUGGAUAGCCUGGCUGAGUGUUUGGUGGAGCUGAGGAACCAGACCAGGCUGACCCUAAAAAACCAGCAGGUCAGCAACAUUGUGGGUCUGUGGGAGAACCUUGUGGACUAUGAUAAGCAGAGGGUGGUGUUGGCAUCCAGGCACCAGGACAGGCUUACCACAGGGAGGUU